AACGAACGCUGGCGGCAGGCUUAACACAUGCAAGUCGAGCGCCCCGCAAGGGGAGCGGCAGACGGGUGAGUAACGCGUGGGAACGUACCUUUUGGUUCGGAACAACUCCGGGAAACUGGAGCUAAUACCGGAUAAGCCCUAACGGGGAAAGAUUUAUCGCCGAAAGAUCGGCCCGCGUCUGAUUAGCUAGUUGGUGAGGUAACGGCUCGCCAAGGCGACGAUCAGUAGCUGGUCUGAGAGGAUGAUCAGCCACACUGGGACUGAGACACGGCCCAGACUCCUACGGGAAGCAGCAGUGGGGAAUAUUGGACAAUGGGCGCAAGCCUGAUCCAGCCAUGCCGCGUGAGUGAUGAAGGCCUUAGGGUUGUAAAGCUCUUUUGUCCGGGAAGAUAAUGACUGUACCGGAAGAAUAAGCCCCGGCUAACUUCGUG
This 431-nucleotide ribosomal RNA is filed under the name uncultured bacterium. RNAcentral's name for it is "partial 16S ribosomal RNA". It matches the Rfam family "Bacterial small subunit ribosomal RNA", at positions 29 to 507 of the family's 1533-position model. The record is from RNAcentral.